Molecule: non-coding RNA, 80 nt
Filed under: Anaerolineae bacterium
Lineage: Bacteria; Bacillati; Chloroflexota; Anaerolineae
Source: RNAcentral
AGUCGAAACCGCAGGGGAACGUCCUCGUUCCCCACGGUCCGCCGGGGUUGACCGCCCGGCGCUGAGGAAGACAGGUCAGA